GUCUACGGCCAUUCUCCCCUGACCGCGCCUGAUCUUGUCUGAUGUUGGAAGUCAAGCAGCACUGGGCCUGGUUAGUACUUGUUUGGGAGAAAAGAACAUCUGGGGAUGUGGCCC
Molecule: ribosomal RNA, 114 nt
Filed under: Chinchilla lanigera (long-tailed chinchilla)
Lineage: Eukaryota; Metazoa; Chordata; Mammalia; Rodentia; Chinchillidae
Source: RNAcentral